RNAcentral lists this ribosomal RNA (478 nucleotides) under uncultured bacterium. RNAcentral's name for it is "bacterial SSU rRNA". It matches the Rfam family "Bacterial small subunit ribosomal RNA", at positions 28 to 498 of the family's 1533-position model. The record is from RNAcentral.
GAUGAACGCUAGCGGCAGGCUUAAUACAUGCAAGUCGUGGGGCAGCAUGAGUAGCAAUACUUGAUGGCGACCGGCAAACGGGUGAGGAACACGUACACAACCUUCCUUCAAGCGGGGAAUAGCCCAGAGAAAUUUGGAUUAAUACCCCAUAAUAUAUUUGAUAAGGCAUCUUAUUAAUAUUAAAGCUUCGGCACUUGAUGAUGGGUGUGCGGCUGAUUAGAUAGUUGGCGGGGUAACGGCCCACCAAGUCUACGAUCAGUAGCUGAUGUGAGAGCAUGAUCAGCCACACGGGCACUGAGACACGGGCCCGACUCCUACGGGAGGCAGCAGUAAGGAAUAUUGGACAAUGGACGAAAGUACUGAUCCAGCCAUGCCGCGUGAAGGAUUAAAGGUCCUCUGGAUUGUAAACUUCUUUUAUAUGGGACGAAAAAAGGGCAUUCUUGUUCACUUGACGGUACCAUAUGAAUAAGCACCGGCU